CCUACGGGAGGCAGCAGUGGGGAAUAUUGGACAAUGGGGGGAACCCUGAUCCAGCCAUGCCGCGUGUGUGAAGAAGGCCCUCGGGUUGUAAAGCACUUUCAGUGAGGAAGAACGCCUGGUGGUUAAUACCCAUCAGGAAAGACAUCACUCACAGAAGAAGCACCGGCUAACUCCGUGCCAGCAGCCGCGGUAAUACGGAGGGUGCGAGCGUUAAUCGGAAUUACUGGGCGUAAAGCGCGCGUAGGUGGCUUGAUAAGCCGGUUGUGAAAGCCCCGGGCUCAACCUGGGAACGGCAUCCGGAACUGUCCAGCUAGAGUGCAGGAGAGGAAGGUAGAAUUCCCGGUGUAGCGGUGAAAUGCGUAGAGAUCGGGAGGAAUACCAGUGGCGAAGGCGGCCUUCUGGACUGACACUGACACUGAGGUGCGAAAGCGUGGGUAGCAAACAGGAUUAGAUACCCCGGUAGUC
This 465-nucleotide ribosomal RNA is filed under the name Vreelandella stevensii. RNAcentral describes it as "partial 16S ribosomal RNA". It matches the Rfam family "Bacterial small subunit ribosomal RNA", at positions 338 to 795 of the family's 1533-position model. Lineage: Bacteria; Pseudomonadati; Pseudomonadota; Gammaproteobacteria; Oceanospirillales; Halomonadaceae. The record is from RNAcentral.